This is a long non-coding RNA of Oncorhynchus tshawytscha (Chinook salmon), 291 nucleotides long. NCBI's taxonomy places the organism in Eukaryota, Metazoa, Chordata, Actinopteri, Salmoniformes, Salmonidae. The record is from Ensembl.
GGCAGAACAGUUGAAACUGGAGCAGCAGCACGGCCAGGUGGACUGGGGACAGCAAGGAGUCAUCAUGUCAGGUAGUCCUGGGGCAUGGUCCUAGGGCUCAGGUCCUCCGAGAGAGAGAAAGAAAGAGAGAAGGAGAGAAUUAGAGAACGCACACUUAGAUUCACACAGGACACCGAAUAGGACAGGAGAAGUACUCCAGAUAUAACAAACUGACCCCAGCCCCCCGACACAAACUACUGCAGCAUAAAUACUGGAGGCUGAGACAGGAGGGGUCAGGAGACACUGUGGCCC